RNAcentral lists this unclassified non-coding RNA (246 nucleotides) under Hevea brasiliensis (rubber tree). The record is from RNAcentral. Lineage: Eukaryota; Viridiplantae; Streptophyta; Magnoliopsida; Malpighiales; Euphorbiaceae.
AAUAAAUUCAUCAAUAAGGCCCUGUUGAGUAACUGACAAUAAUGGCCAAUAAAGCUCGGAUAGUUCACAAUUAUGGUGAUCAUGUAGUUAACAAACGCAAUUCUAUUAAUCACAUUAACAUGUUGGUAGAAGGCUACAAUUAGAGCUCAUCCAACAAUUCUAGUGAUCAGCUAGAAUUAUCAUUGAAUUAAUAUAAUGAAUUUAUUUACAGCCACAUCAAUGUAAAGAGGAAAGCUAGUUUUACUU